GACGAACGCUGGCGGCGUGCUUAACACAUGCAAGUCGAACGGAAAGGCCCUGCUUUUGUGGGGUGCUCGAGUGGCGAACGGGUGAGUAACACGUGAGUAACCUGCCCUUGACUUUGGGAUAACUUCAGGAAACUGGGGCUAAUACCGGAUAGGAGCUCCUGCUGCAUGGUGGGGGUUGGAAAGUUUCGGCGGUUGGGGAUGGACUCGCGGCUUAUCAGCUUGUUGGUGGGGUAGUGGCUUACCAAGGCUUUGACGGGUAGCCGGCUUGAGAGGGUGACCGGCCACAUUGGCACUGAGAUGCGGCCCAGACUCCUACGUGAGGCAGCAGUGGGAAAUAUUCCACAAUGGGCGGAAGCCUGAUGCAGCAUCGUCGCGUGCGGGAUGACUGCCUUCGGGGUGUAAACCGCUUUCGCCUGUGACGAAGCGUGAGUGACGGUAAUGGGUAAGGAAGCACCGGCUAACUACGUG
Molecule: ribosomal RNA, 468 nt
Filed under: uncultured bacterium
Lineage: Bacteria
Description: partial 16S ribosomal RNA
Rfam family: Bacterial small subunit ribosomal RNA
Source: RNAcentral